GACGAACGCUGGCGGCGUGCCUAAUACAUGCAAGUCGAACGAGAGCGCCCGGUGCUUGCACUGGUCAAUCUAGUGGCGAACGGGUGAGUAACACGUGGGUAACCUGCCCAUCAGAGGGGGAUAACAUUCGGAAACGGAUGCUAAAACCGCAUAGGUCUUCGAACCGCAUGGUUUGAAGAGGAAAAGAGGCGCAAGCUUCUGCUGAUGGAUGGACCCGCGGUGCAUUAGCUAGUUGGUGAGGUAACGGCUCACCAAGGCCGUGAUGCAUAGCCGACCUGAGAGGGUGAUCGGCCACAUUGGGACUGAGACACGGCCCAAACUCCUACGGGAGGCAGCAGUAGGGAAUCUUCCGCAAUGGACGCAAGUCUGACGGAGCAACGCCGCGUGAGUGAAGAAGGUUUUCGGAUCGUAAAACUCUGUUGUUAGAGAAGAAUAAGUGCUAGAGCAACUGUUAGCGCCUUGACGGUAUCUAACCAGAAAGCCACGGCUAACUACGUG
This 498-nucleotide ribosomal RNA is filed under the name uncultured bacterium. RNAcentral describes it as "partial 16S ribosomal RNA". It matches the Rfam family "Bacterial small subunit ribosomal RNA", at positions 28 to 507 of the family's 1533-position model. The record is from RNAcentral.